This 454-nucleotide ribosomal RNA is filed under the name uncultured Rikenellaceae bacterium. RNAcentral describes it as "partial 16S ribosomal RNA". It matches the Rfam family "Bacterial small subunit ribosomal RNA", at positions 341 to 792 of the family's 1533-position model. The record is from RNAcentral. Lineage: Bacteria; Pseudomonadati; Bacteroidota; Bacteroidia; Bacteroidales; Rikenellaceae.
ACGGAAGGCAGCAGUGAGGAAUAUUGGUCAAUGGACGCAAGUCUGAACCAGCCAUGCCGCGUGCAGGAAUAAGGCCCUAUGGGUCGUAAACUGCUUUUGUGGUGGAGCGAUAAGUCGUACGUGUACGGCGAUGUGAGUACAUCACGAAUAAGCAUCGGCUAACUCCGUGCCAGCAGCCGCGGUAAUACGGAGGAUGCAAGCGUUAUCCGGAUUUAUUGGGUUUAAAGGGUGCGUAGGCUGUGGUCCAAGUCAGGGGUGAAAGCCCGGAGCUCAACUCCGGAACUGCCUUUGAUACUGGAUUGCUGGAAUACGGAUGCCGUGGGAGGAAUGAGUAGUGUAGCGGUGAAAUGCAUAGAUAUUACUCAGAACACCGAUUGCGAAGGCAUCUCACGAAUCCGUCAUUGACGCUGAGGCACGAAAGCGUGGGGAUCAAACAGGAUUAGAUACCCUGGUA